Phascolarctos cinereus (koala) is the source of this 1265-nucleotide non-coding RNA. NCBI's taxonomy places the organism in Eukaryota, Metazoa, Chordata, Mammalia, Diprotodontia, Phascolarctidae. The record is from RefSeq and is a predicted model, not a curated record.
UGCUGUUGUGGUGGUUGUUUACUGAUUCUUCCUGAUGCACUGAGACACAACAUAAAGAAAGCAAAGGGAUCACAGGAAGGGUGGUCUACAACAGGAAUGCUUAAAGAAAAAUUGAAGCUGUUCUCAUUAAAUCUACUAGCCUAAGAAGAAUGAGAAAUGGUCUUGUUCUACUAAUGAUUAAGAAUUCAAAGGAGAAAGAAGAAAAGGGUUAUGAAAUAUAAGACCCAAAUCUGAUGGAUCUGUGCUUUAAGGUUGGCACUCUAUUGCCAGAAGACUGAAUUAUAAUAGCAAUAAGAAAAUUAUCAGAAUUUUGGUAACUUGCACAGAUGGGAGAAGGCAAGGGAGAAUGGAUAAACUAUAUGCACAAUCUCUGAAAGACAGCACACCACUGAUGCAGAGGUUAAGUAUCAUCCUCAAUGCCACAGACAACAUAAGAAGAGCAGAAAAAACAAAACCUAUAUCUUAUACUUCCUGUUCUAACUUUAUAAUUUUAAAGCUGCCUCCCUUUCAAAAUCUCAUAAAAAGGCUAAAGAUACACAAUUUCAGCUAACAGUUCACAUGCCUUAAGAAAACACCAGUGAUAAAUUCCAAAGUUCAGAACACAAAUAUAAACUUUCUAAAAGCAUUAAAAAAAAAAAGAUGACAAUUGAAAUUGUAACAAAGCUGUCUUUGCACAUUUACUGGGCACUCAAUACUUUAUCCCUUCCAAUCCACCAUCUUCUUUUUUGGGAAAAAAAAAGUAAUGCAAAAGUGAGUGAUGAACAAAAACAACAGCCAUCUCCAUGGUAACACACAAUGUAUUGACAUCAACUGCCCACCUCUGGAAUUGGGGUGCUUCUCAUCGUUGGAGUCAAUAGAGCUGAGAAAAGGAAUUUGGAAGGAGCUUUGCAAGAUGCUACCACCUACUCUGUUUAAAAUCAACUAAGCUUGUUCUAGUUAGACAUUCUAUAAAACCUUUCUCAACUCAAAGAAGGGACUCAGAAAAAGAACUCCCCAGCUGGUUUCUGCUGAUAACUAGAAGCACCAGGAGAAAAACUAUAGCUGCGUCCUCAAGGAAUUCCUGACUACUAGCCAAAGCAACACCUUCUAGGGAGAUUAGCACUUUUUAAGAAAUCAUACCAUUUAUUCAUGCAAAAGGACAUACACUUUAGAUAUGCACUGCUAUUGUGUCUUCCUGUUUGGAAGAACUGUCUGUCUCAUGACAACAAUGAGAACAAAUGUAAAAUGAAUUCAAGACACAUUUCAUCUAAAUUUUUGAAGACCUU